CAUCAACGUCCUGCAAAUUGUGAAGUCGACACACUUGGAGUAAAGAAAUACACAAGUUACCCUCCUUGUGCAGUCCUGGACUGUGGAUCCUAAAGAGAAGGUCCACUGAAGGAUGUCUUGGAAUAGGUGGUUAAGUGUUCCCAGAACACAUAGCUUUAGCAAUCCUUAUUCCAUCCACAUUUCUAGAGAAACAGAAUCUCUAAAGAAAGGGACUAAGGUUAGGAA
Long non-coding RNA from Sapajus apella (tufted capuchin), 225 nucleotides. RefSeq lists it as uncharacterized. Lineage: Eukaryota; Metazoa; Chordata; Mammalia; Primates; Cebidae. The record is from RefSeq and is a predicted model, not a curated record. The transcript has 3 exons.